Molecule: ribosomal RNA, 497 nt
Filed under: uncultured bacterium
Lineage: Bacteria
Description: partial 16S ribosomal RNA
Rfam family: Bacterial small subunit ribosomal RNA
Source: RNAcentral
GAUGAACGCUGGCGGCGUGCCUGAUACAUGCAAGUCGAGCGAACGGACGAGAAGCUUGCUUCUCUGAUGUUAGCGGCGGACGGGUGAGUAACACGUGGAUAACCUACCUAUAAGACUGGGAUAACUUCGGGAAACCGGAGCUAAUACCGGAUAAUAUUUUGAACCGCAUGGUUCAAAAGUGAAAGACGGUCUUGCUGUCACUUAUAGAUGGAUCCGCGCUGCAUUAGCUAGUUGGUAAGGUAACGGCUUACCAAGGCAACGAUGCAUAGCCGACCUGAGAGGGUGAUCGGCCACACUGGAACUGAGACACGGUCCAGACUCCUGCGGGAGGCAGCAGUAGGGAAUCUUCCGCAAAGGGCGAAAGCCUGACGGAGCAACGCCGCGUGAGUGAUGAAGGUCUUCGGAUCGUAAAACUCUGUUAUUAGGGAAGAACAUAUGUGUAAGUAACUGUGCACAUCUUGACGGUACCUAAUCAGAAAGCCACGGCUAACUACGUG